RNAcentral lists this ribosomal RNA (236 nucleotides) under uncultured Staphylococcus sp. RNAcentral's name for it is "partial 16S ribosomal RNA". It matches the Rfam family "Bacterial small subunit ribosomal RNA", at positions 103 to 334 of the family's 1533-position model. The record is from RNAcentral. Lineage: Bacteria; Bacillati; Bacillota; Bacilli; Caryophanales; Staphylococcaceae.
CGGGUGAGUAACACGUGGAUAACCUACCUAUAAGACUGGAUAACUUCGGGAAACCGGAGCUAAUACCGGAUAAUAUUUUGAACCGCAUGGUUCAAAAGUGAAAGACGGUCUUGCUGUCACUUAUAGAUGGAUCCGCGCUGCAUUAGCUAGUUGGUAAGGUAACGGCUUACCAAGGCAACGAUGCAUAGCCGACCUGAGAGGGUGAUCGGCCACACUGUAACUGAGACACGGUCCAG